RNAcentral lists this ribosomal RNA (492 nucleotides) under uncultured bacterium. RNAcentral describes it as "partial 16S ribosomal RNA". It matches the Rfam family "Bacterial small subunit ribosomal RNA", at positions 30 to 507 of the family's 1533-position model. The record is from RNAcentral.
AUUGAACGCUGGCGGCAUGCUUUACACAUGCAAGUCGAACGGUAACAGGCCUUCGGGUGCUGACGAGUGGCGAACGGGUGAGUAAUGCAUCGGAACGUGCCCAGAGGUGGGGGAUAACGCAGCGAAAGCUGUGCUAAUACCGCAUGUGAUCUGAGGAUGAAAGCGGGGGACCAGGCAGCAAUGUUUGGCCUCGCGCCUUUGGAGCGGCCGAUGUCAGAUUAGUUAGUUGGUGGGGUAAAGGCCUACCAAGCCGACGAUCUGUAGCUGGUCUGAGAGGACGACCAGCCACACUGGGACUGAGACACGGCCCAGACUCCUACGGGAGGCAGCAGUGGGGAAUUUUGGACAAUGGGCGCAAGCCUGAUCCAGCAAUGCCGCGUGCGGGAAGAAGGCCUUCGGGUUGUAAACCGCUUUUGUACGGAACGAAAAGGCUCUGGCUAAUACCUGGGGCUGAUGACGGUACCGUAAGAAUAAGCACCGGCUAACUACGUG